AUUGAACGCUGGCGGCAGGCCUAACACAUGCAAGUCGAGCGGAUGAAGGGAGCUUGCUCCUGGAUUCAGCGGCGGACGGGUGAGUAAUUCCUAGGAAUCUGCCUGGUAGUGGGGGAUAACGUCCGGAAACGGGCGCUAAUACCGCAUACGUCCUGAGGGAGAAAGUGGGGGAUCUUCGGACCUCACGCUAUCAGAUGAGCCUAGGUCGGAUUAGCUAGUUGGUGGGGUAAAGGCCUACCAAGGCGACGAUCCGUAACUGGUCUGAGAGGAUGAUCAGUCACACUGGAACUGAGACACGGUCCAGACUCCUACGGGAGGCAGCAGUGGGGAAUAUUGGACAAUGGGCGAAAGCCUGAUGCAGCCAUGCCGCGUGUGUGAAGAAGGUCUUCGGAUUGUAAAGCACUUUAAGUUGGGAGGAAGGGCAGUAAGUUAAUACCUUGCUGUUUUGGCGUUACCAACAGAAUAAGCCCCGGCUAACUUCGUG
Molecule: ribosomal RNA, 484 nt
Filed under: uncultured bacterium
Lineage: Bacteria
Description: partial 16S ribosomal RNA
Rfam family: Bacterial small subunit ribosomal RNA
Source: RNAcentral